ACCGAUUUUCUCGUUUUCCCAACAUUUUCCCUCGGUAUUCCCGUGUUCUCUCCCGGUUUCUCACAUUUACCGGGAGAACUAUUGGGACAAUUGAAAAAUGACCUCCCCGAAGUACCCGAAGUACCCUAAAAAAAAACCCGGGAAAAAAAUUGUCGUCCCCGGUAAAAUAUAUUCCGAGAUUUCAAAUCCGUUUUCGUCGAAUUCGCGAAACGCCCUCUCUCGGCGGUCUCGCUUCGGGGAGGGUGGCGGGAAGAGGGGACGAAUCGUCUUAUUAUUCCGUACGGAGAAAAGACGAUAUUAUUAUUAUUAUUAUUAUUAUUGUUAUUCGUAUUCCUUAUAGAUAUUUUAAUACUUCCGAAUCAAUUGUGCGCAUUAUAUACGUACACACGCGUGCCGUCGUCGUCGUUUACACCACAUAACAUUAUGCACAAAUAUUUCGCCGACACAAAUAAGUCUUUGUAACGUUUCGUAUCGAUUGCGGGGUAACCUGCGACUCUAAAU
Non-coding RNA from Cinara cedri, 501 nucleotides. Lineage: Eukaryota; Metazoa; Arthropoda; Insecta; Hemiptera; Aphididae. The record is from the annotation of a GenBank genome assembly.